AUAAAAAAAUCUCUCUCUAGUUUGAUAGAGAGAGAAAAUUCUCUCUACUCCCUUCGUCAUAUUUUAUCUCCUGUCGGGUUAGCCGAGCAUAUUUUCUGGUUGGCUUCCCUCGUCCUUCGGGACAGGGGAAGAUAGUGUAUCCGACUUGUCGGUGGCUUCCCUCCCACCUCCGGUUGGACGUAUAGUUUUGGUUUCAUUUUGUUGAUAUCAGAACUUGGAUCUUCAUGGAGAUGGUGAUUUGUUGAUGUUCUGUAGGUAGGAAGAUGAAUUUAUAGCAUGUGUUGGUUUUAUCUUGAGUUUAGUUAUUGUGCUUUGCUUGAAGGGAAGGAUAAUCAUAGGGGGACAUUUGCAACUCCGGGGAUUUAUGCUUCUUCUUCUCUUAUGGAAACUCACCCUUAAGACAAUAUGAGAUUGAGAGGCUAGUGAGCUCUGCUGUGUCACCUUCCUGGAGAGGCGUGCUUUCGAUAUUGGGUGGUAGUGCCUUGGAGAUCCGACACUGUUUACGCUUAUGUGUUUUUCUGAGUGGCUUUUGGCUGUUCAGAUGCUUAAUCGGAGCUUUGGUUAGGGAUGAAGAAAUGUUUCUCUUCCCAUUUUCCAAAUCGGCGAUCAAGAUUGUUGUGGUAGAUGGACGGCUGUCUUGGUUCUGUUCCCUUUUCUGUUUGUUUAGGGUUCUUAGACUGGGGGUGGGCUACCAUGGUUUGGGCUUGUUUUGUUGUAAGGCUUGAUUUAUGGGUCUCUAAUUUCUCUUUUAAUGUGUUGUAACUAGACUCAAUUUGUAAGUUUGCCUUAUUGGCCUGGAAAUGCAAUAGUCAAGAUUUACAGUUUAAAAAAAAAAAA
RNAcentral lists this unclassified non-coding RNA (837 nucleotides) under Hevea brasiliensis (rubber tree). The record is from RNAcentral. Lineage: Eukaryota; Viridiplantae; Streptophyta; Magnoliopsida; Malpighiales; Euphorbiaceae.